GAUUUCGUAGCUCAAUGGUAGAGCGUUGGCCUGUUAAGCCAAUAGUUGAAAGUUCGAAUCUUUCUGGAAUCGCAA
RNAcentral lists this transfer RNA (75 nucleotides) under Chryseobacterium sp. IHB B 17019. Its description in RNAcentral is "tRNA-Asn". It matches the Rfam family "tRNA". Rfam says of the family: Transfer RNA (tRNA) molecules are approximately 80 nucleotides in length. Their secondary structure includes four short double-helical elements and three loops (D, anti-codon, and T loops). Further hydrogen bonds mediate the characteristic L-shaped molecular structure. tRNAs have two regions of fundamental functional importance: the anti-codon, which is responsible for specific mRNA codon recognition, and the 3' end, to which the tRNAs corresponding amino acid is attached (by aminoacyl-tRNA synthetases). tRNAs cope with the degeneracy of the genetic code in two manners: having more than one tRNA (with a specific anti-codon) for a particular amino acid; and 'wobble' base-pairing, i.e. permitting non-standard base-pairing at the 3rd anti-codon position. Lineage: Bacteria; Pseudomonadati; Bacteroidota; Flavobacteriia; Flavobacteriales; Weeksellaceae. The record is from RNAcentral.